CCUACGGGAGACAGCAGUGAGGAAUAUUGGUCAAUGGGCGCGAGCCUGAACCAGCCAAGUCGCGUGAGGGAGGACGGCCCUACGGGUUGUAAACCUCUUUUGCCGGGGAGCAACGUGCGCCACGUGUGGCGUCACUGAGAGUACCCGGAUAAAAAGCAUCGGCUAACUCCGUGCCAGCAGCCGCGGUAAUCAGGAGGAUGCGAGCUUUAUCCGGAUUUAUUGGGUUUAAGGGGGGCGUAAGCGGAUCGUUAUGGCAGUGGUAAAAUUGAGGGGCUCAACCCCAUCCCGCCAUUGAAACUGGCGUUCUUGAGUGGAAGAGAGGUAUGCGGAAUGCGUGGUGUAGCGGUGAAAUGCAUAGAUAUCACGCAGAACCCCGAUUGCGAAGGCAGCAUGCCGGCUUCCGACUGACGCUGAAGCACGAAAGCGUGGGGAUCGAACAGGAUUAGAUACCCUGGUAGUC
RNAcentral lists this ribosomal RNA (460 nucleotides) under uncultured bacterium. RNAcentral describes it as "partial 16S ribosomal RNA". It matches the Rfam family "Bacterial small subunit ribosomal RNA", at positions 338 to 795 of the family's 1533-position model. The record is from RNAcentral.